Molecule: ribosomal RNA, 486 nt
Filed under: uncultured bacterium
Lineage: Bacteria
Description: partial 16S ribosomal RNA
Rfam family: Bacterial small subunit ribosomal RNA (bases 53-486)
Source: RNAcentral
GGGGGGGGGGGGGGGGGGGCCGGGGGCGGGCGGGGCGAGCGGGGGCGCGGGGGCUGGGGGCGGGUGGCGGGGGGCGGACGGGGGAGGAGUACAUCGGAACAGGUCCUGGAGUGGGGGAGAGCCCGGCGAAAGCCGGAUUAAUACCGCAGACGGGCCACGGAUGAAAGCGGGGGCCCUGCGGGCCUCGCGCUAUAUGGUUGGCCGAUGGCUGAGUAGCUAGUGGGUGGGGUAUAGGCCUACACAGGCGACGACCAGUAGCUGGUCUGAGAGCGAGACCAGCCACACGGGGACUGAGGCACGGCCCAGACUCCUACGGGAGGCAGCAGUGGGGAAUUUUGGACAAUGGGCGAAAGCCUGAUCCAGCAAUGCCGCGUGUGUGCAGAAGGCCUUCGGGUUGUAAAGCACUUUUGUCCGGAAAGAAAUCCUUGACUCUAAUCCAGUCGGGGGAUGACGGUACCGGAAGAAUAAGCACCGGCUAACUACGUG